Long non-coding RNA from Vulpes vulpes (red fox), 1952 nucleotides. NCBI's taxonomy places the organism in Eukaryota, Metazoa, Chordata, Mammalia, Carnivora, Canidae. The record is from Ensembl.
CACCAGUGGCCAUCAUCCUUAAAUGCAUUCUCAUUUGACCCUAUGAUCAGACUCACUCUCACAAUGUCAUUUGAGAAGAUAAGACUGCUAAAAAUCAAAGUUAAGCAAAGGUUGUGUUGUGUGUAGCUAGCUAGCUAGAGAUACUUUCACAAUUUUCCCUAAGAUUUUACUUAUUUAUUUGACAGAGAGUGUGUUUGGGCAAGCACAGAAGCAAGCAGAGGAAGAGGGAGAAGCAGGCUCCCCAAUGAGCAAGGAGCCUAAUGCAGCGUUCAAUUCAAGAAUCCCAGGAUAAUGACCAGAGCUGAAGGCAGAUGCUCCACUGACUGAACCUCCCCAGGUUCAGUUAAUAGCACCUUUCACUGUUUUCAGUAAACGGAUAAAGAAGUUUAGGUCCUUGCCCUAAGGUCACAUCCAGCUCAGUGAUGGAGUCACCAACCCAGGACCAACUUUGAAUCCCCCCGCCUCUGCUCCCUCUUCUUGCAUAGAAAUAAGUAGUAGCACACAUUUAUGGAAUUAUGGAAACCAUGUUGAUUGUGUCAGUCAUGAGAGAGCACAGCUUAGAUCUCCCUUUAAGAGGGAAUAUGCUGCGAGUGUGUGAUGGGCUGAGGGCCUCAGCCAUGGCACCUUUGGAAUCCCUGUAGGGUUCCCACUGACCCCUUGCUCUCCCCGAGGACAGCAGGAGAACAAAAGCCCAGCCAGGUCUGCCCAGUGAUGACUCCUCAACUCUUGGGUUUCCCAGCAGCCUGGCCAUAGCUGUGCUCAGAGCUGUGCUCUCCUCUGCAGUUCUUACCCAACCCUCUUUCCUGUCCCGUCUCCUAUGGCAAGUGGCAGGCCUGAAGGGUCUCUUCACCUUCCCCUGUUCCUUCACCCUUCUUACCUCACAGAUGUUCUCACCAGUACAUUUUUUUUGCAUACAUAAUUCCAUCUUGACAUCUGUUACUCAAAGGACCUGAAGUGACACACUUGUUGAUACCUGCCUUGACUCACUACAUGGACUAUGCCACAGCCUCCAACUCCCAUCCCAAGAACCUAGUAUGCUGCAAAGGGAGAAGCCUGGCUCCCACUCUGGCUCAGCCACUUGGAGUCAUCGUCCUUGAGAAAGUUUCUCAGCCUCCUGAGGCUUGUGUUCUGGAGCCUAAAUAGAAAUUGUCAUCAGUGCUAUUGAAGGGACGAAAUUAGAGUGUGUGUGGAAAAGACUUUAUAAAUCAGAAUGUUACAGAAAUGGUUAUUUUUCUGCCUGAGAGAGGUAUUUACAAUGUGUUUUUCCUCCUUAUAAAAGGAAUAUGAAUUCUUUGUGGACAUUUUGAAAAUUACAUUUGAGUAAAAAAAAAAAAAAGGAAUCAGAAUCACUCAGAGUUAACUACUAUGCACAUUCAGUAUUUGCUCCCAUCUUUCUCCCCAUCUGUAUAGAGAUAUGCCUUUGUUGAAGCAAGGAUGUGGAUACUUAAGACCCCGGGGGUGGUACUCCUCCCCUCACUAGCCUGCAGAGCUACUACAGCAUUUCCCUCCACCCUUGCUGCAGCAAAGGGCACAGACUUCAUCUCUCACUAGAAGCAAGGCUGAGGGGCCUUCUGGGUCCCCAAGUAAGCAGACCUUAGAAAUGGAACCUGUUCUUUCUGAUAGAGACCUUCAAACUUUGUACUCUGCAAACCAUUUUGGAAAGAUCAUAUCCUUUUAUGGAUCACUUGCCUGCGUAUCCUCAUUUACAAAUAGAUUUUUGAGAUUUAAAAGGCAUAGACUCCUGUAGCUGUGUUGUUAAAAUGCUCCUACUCUCAGGGGCGCCUGGGUGGCUUAGUCAGUUAAGCAUCUGCCUUCAGCUCAGGUCAUGAUUUCAGGGUCCUGGGAUAGAGCCCUGUGUUGGGAUGCCUGCUUGGCAAGGAGUUUGCUUCUCCAUCUCCCUCUACCACUCUCCCCAAUUCAUGCCUGCGCUCUCUCUCUCUCUCUCAAAUAAA